This 634-nucleotide ribosomal RNA is filed under the name uncultured bacterium. Its description in RNAcentral is "bacterial SSU rRNA". The stretch from base 1 to 545 matches the Rfam family "Bacterial small subunit ribosomal RNA", at positions 338 to 873 of the family's 1533-position model. The record is from RNAcentral.
CCUACGGGAGGCAGCAGUGGGGAAUAUUGGACAAUGGGCGCAAGCCUGAUCCAGCCAUGCCGCGUGUGUGAAGAAGGCCUUCGGGUUGUAAAGCACUUUCAGCGAGGAGGAAGGGAUGUAUGUUAAUAGCAUGCAUUUUUGACGUUACUCGCAGAAGAAGCACCGGCUAACUCUGUGCCAGCAGCCGCGGUAAUACAGAGGGUGCAAGCGUUAAUCGGAAUUACUGGGCGUAAAGCGCACGUAGGCGGUUUUUUAAGUCAGAUGUGAAAGCCCCGGGCUCAACCUGGGAAUUGCAUUUGAAACUGGGGAACUAGAGUGUGUGAGAGGGGGGUAGAAUUCCAAGUGUAGCGGUGAAAUGCGUAGAGAUUUGGAGGAAUACCAGUGGCGAAGGCGGCCCCCUGGCACAACACUGACGCUCAGGUGCGAAAGCGUGGGGAGCAAACAGGAUUAGAUACCCUGGUAGUCCACGCCGUAAACGAUGUCUACUAGCUGUUCGUGUCCUUGUGUAUGUGUAGUAGCGCAGCUACGACACUAAGUAGACCGCCGUCGGGAGGUACGGUCGCGAGAGUUAAACGUACGAAAGAAGUUAGUACGGACGUUGAGACGNGCCGACGGACGACGACGAGGGAGGAGG